Mirounga angustirostris (Northern elephant seal) is the source of this 1736-nucleotide long non-coding RNA. RefSeq lists it as uncharacterized. The record is from RefSeq and is a predicted model, not a curated record. NCBI's taxonomy places the organism in Eukaryota, Metazoa, Chordata, Mammalia, Carnivora, Phocidae. The transcript has 3 exons.
AGUGUUUACCACACUGGGUAUUUUGAGCCUUACAGACAUUUGUGAAGGCUUGGUCUUUUGUUCUGAGUGACAAUGAAGGUAGAGUAGAGCAGUGGUAUGGUUUUUAUUUAUUUAUGUUUUACAGGGACCAUUCCAGCUCCGGAUAGGAAGAAAAAGCCAGCAAGAGACAAGGGUAGAAUCAGGGAAAGCGUUUAAAGCAUUAUUGAGGUGACCUCCAUGACUUAUUCCCACACAGUGUCUGCACCUCUUCCUCAUUUGUAUUGAACACAUUAUAGACAGCCGUUCAGCAGACUUCUAUGAAGAUACCACACUGAGUGACUGCACUAAUUGGAAAGAAUUAGCAACAACUUCAAAAUCACAGAAAAAGACACAGAUGCUUUUAAAAGGAUGGAUAUCAUAGUUUGCUCAGAGGAAAAUUUGACUCCACACUGGACCUACAGGAUAUCUGGUGUUCAAACAUGGUGCUCGUUCUUGAAGGAAAGCCUCAGAGAAUACCAGAUUCCUGUCUACUAGCCCCUAUGAACUGCUGGUCCUCUGGAUUUCAUCUACUAUGCGCUGGUGUUUGCUACUUGGAACUUGAGCUGGUGUAGAAGAUUCUGGGGAGAUCUUGGCAUCUUUAGUAUUUUUCAGUUGCUCUGUGAUUUUGACCAAUCCUGAAAUGUCUCAACAUUUUUUAUUCUUCCUGGGGUAAACAUGAAAUUAGGAGCUAUAGAUGCCUUUCGAGUGCUCUUUUCCCUGCUAGACUUUCUGUCAGCAUUUUUGAUUUUGAGCAAUCCAUUUAAUCUCUUCUCCACAUUGCUGCCCUUGGUGAUGGCGAUAGUAGAGAUGAAGUUUUUCCUUGGGGGACAGGCCUGGCACACGAUGCCUCUAGAUUAUAAGAGCCUCCAAGCAGCAUGGAACCAAGGUCAUGUAAUCAGUGACCCAUCUGUCAUUGGGACUUAGCCUUCCAGAGCCUCAAUUUGAGUCCAGCAGACCAAUUAUCUUUGUCCUUCUAUCGUGUGCUGCCUUCUAUGUGUCCAAAGACAUUAAACCUAACCUCUUUGCCUGUUUCUUCUGUACUAACCCGACACACAAGACGGAAUUCAGAACAAGCUGCUUCCCAAAGUGCUUUCUGCAGAGAGAUGGAAAAGGAGCUCAACAAAUGGGUUUCCAGUUCAUAUGUAGCCACUGCAGGCAGGUCAGAUUCUCUCUUCAACCUAAAUCAUGAAGGCUACAUCCCGCAGGGCACAGAAAUGCCAGCCAUGGAAAUAUGGUCUUUCUUGCCCAUUUCUGCCUGCCACAAAGAGAAUACUUCUGGCACACACCACCUUAGUCCUAGUCCCAGAAAGCUUGAUCUCACUUCUUUUUACUGAAAUUGUGAUAAAAUCCAGGUUUUACUCACAGCAGAAUAACCUGCAGGGCUGGUUCCUUUAACUUUGGGGAAGGUAUCUAUACCAAAUUUUUACACAAUGAGCUUAGCAUGAAUGCCUAAAUCACACUCAUCAUUAUACAGCUAAUUUUUAGUAUAAACUUUUCAUUCUUUUUUGCAGAAUUUAGUUAAAAUGCUAAGUUAGUGCUUCAAUAAUUCUCUUUGUUGAGUUCUGGGAGUUCCUCUUGUUUAAUCUGUCAGGUUGGCCUGGAUCUCUUAUGUUUCUACCACCUCUUCUUGUCCCAAGAUAUUCUGCUCAAGAAUGACUAUUAUUUGUGUUACUAUUUUCAGAUAAUUCUCCAUUUCUACAGCUGCAAUUUAUUCAAGA